AAUUACACAGCACUUAUCUGACUGCUGCGUGUACACUAUUAAAAACCUCAAGGCAGCAAAAUGCAGUUUGAAGGCGUUGAAGACCUCUCGAGGUUGUGUAACGUAUGGCAGUGUGGGAGGAGUCUCAGUGCGGUUAUAAAUCGCGGAUGAAGCCUUCGAUCAGUCCAUUUCCUCCUCCUCUUUGGCUCUGUCUGGUGCAAAAUGAAGACUCUCCAUAAAAGCCAGGUGGCUGGUUGAAUUUCUUCUGAAUGUCGGAUAAAAACACUCCAGGGACCUCACGGAAGGAGGACUACAUCCUCGUAUUCCACUUAAAGAUGACUGCCAUCAGAUUGGAAACAUCAUAUGAUCUGACUCUUAAGGUUGGACAGAACCUCUAUCACAUGGCUCUAAAAAGCUGGAAGUCGACCCCACAGAUGAAGGGAUGCUGAUGGUGCAUAAUGGAUUUGAAAGCGCUACGAAAUGGAAAAAGUUCAUUUCAGUUUUGAGAUGCUAAAGUGGCGGUGGCUGUAGCGGGGAGAGUUGAUUGCUGUUUUGAGAUGCUAAAGUGGCGGUGGCUGUAGCGGGGAGAGUUGAUUGCUGUUUUGAGAUGCUAAAGUGGCGGUGGCUGUAGCGGAGAGAGUUGAUUGCGGUUUUGAGAUUCUAAAAUGGUGGUGGCUGUAGCAGACUGAAGAUGUGACAUUUUAAGAAGCUGUUUACUCUAACCUGGAGCAGGUGAGUCAAAGCUCACUUGAUAAAGUAGUUUCCUUGGUGAUGAGAUCUGCACAUGUCUUACGCCUUGUGUGAAUGCCAGACCUGCAAAGGUGAACCCACUGGUGUUGCCAGGGCAACAAGGGGACAACUUGUUGGGGUUUCCAACUGUCUGAAAGGAAACUGCUGUAACAUAAUUUUCUAUCUGGAGCUGCAACUAAUGAGAUGUUUGCAGGUUGAUGGCCGCCAUGCUGUUGGCUUCAGCUGUGAGUUGAGGUGUGUAUGAUGUCCAUAGUUGCUGUCAUGUUCUUUUGUGGAAGUGAUUUUCUUUUACCGCCCCAGUCUGAAGAUUCAUGACUGAUUGGACGGUGCAGGUGAAACUCCAAUCUGCCCAUCUUGUUCACCAGGUGUGUAUGAUGUCCAUAGUUGCUGUCAUGUUGUUUUGUGGAAGUGAUUAUUUCUUAUACCGCCCCAGUCUGAAAAUUCAUGACUGACUGGUAACAUUACUGAUCCACAUCAAUUUAGCAAACUGUCAAUCACUGAGUUAACUUAAAAUAAUGGGAGUUGUGUCACUAUAGGUUGGUGUACAGUAUGUUGCAGAUUAAACGCCAUCAGCCCAGCUUGUUCAGCAGGUGUGUAUGAUUCAGUGCUUUACUUUCUGUAGGAGUAGAAAUGAUGACUUUCCAAGAAGGAACAUCGUCACUCCUUCCAAGAAGGAACACCGUUUCUCCAUUUGACCCAGUCAUGGCACUGAGAACCCUGUAUGCAGGUGUAAGGUGACCCGCUGGUGUUCUGUGGAGAAAUAGGUAGCCUAAUGACUGAUGUCUCACAUUCUGAUCAAUUGCCAGUUAUUUGCAGCAUAAGCUCUUGCUUUUGCGAGGAAUUAAACUACAUAACAUGUUUUUCUUUAGGGAUGUCUGACUUGCUGCGCCUAGCAGUCUUUAUUUGGUAAGUAGAUAUUGUAUGUUGCCAUGUAUUGGCUUGCGCUUUAUUUUACUGCCCUAGUCUGAGUUAUUAAUGACUAGUAAUCUGUUCGCAGAUGAGCAUUUUAAACUAGGGGUGCCAAAACUUUUUUACUGGGGGCUACAUUGGGCUUAAGGAAAAAUUUGGCCAAGUCUCAAAAGCUGACAGCAUGCAAAGUAACUGUACCUGAUUCAUUAUAAUUGGUUAUUAAAUAACUCUUCCCCCCCUGUUUACUUCUGUGAAGACCUUUCAAUUUUUGUGUUUUUUUUUUUUUACUUGCAAUGUUUAGCUCUUGCUUUUGGCAGGAAUUAAACUGUUUUUCCUUUAGGGUUGUCUGACUUGUCACUGGCAUAUUUCAAAUUGUAACUUCACUGACAUUCUAUUGACUGCUCCCAUUUGUUUUGCAGAUGUGACAUUGACCAGGCCAGAAGUUGUAACUAAAUAUGGAAUGUUUUUAAAAUAAAAACCAAGAAAAUGUC
Molecule: long non-coding RNA, 2129 nt
Organism: Entelurus aequoreus (snake pipefish)
Lineage: Eukaryota; Metazoa; Chordata; Actinopteri; Syngnathiformes; Syngnathidae
Exons: 14
Source: RefSeq, a predicted model, not a curated record